RNAcentral lists this unclassified non-coding RNA (346 nucleotides) under soil metagenome. Its description in RNAcentral is "partial contains 5.8S ribosomal RNA, internal transcribed spacer 2, and large subunit ribosomal RNA". The stretch from base 1 to 119 matches the Rfam family "5.8S ribosomal RNA", at positions 35 to 154 of the family's 154-position model. The record is from RNAcentral.
GAUGAAGAACGUAGCGAAAUGGGAUACGUAAUGUGAAUUGCAAAUUCAGUGAAUCAUCGAGUCUUUGAACGCACAUUGCGCCCCCUGGUAUUCCGGGGGGCAUGCCUGUCCGAGCGUCAUUGCUGCCCUCAAGCACGGCUUGUGUGUUGGGCCCCGACCUCCGAUCCCGGGGGACGGGCCCGAAAGGCAGCGGCGGCACCGCGUCCGGUCCUCGAGCGUAUGGGGCUUUGUCACCCGCUCUGUAGGCCCGGCCGGCGCUUGCCGAUCAACCCAAAUUUUUUAUCCAGGUUGACCUCGGAUCAGGUAGGGAUACCCGCUGAACUUAAGCAUAUCAAUAAGCGGAGGA